RNAcentral lists this ribosomal RNA (253 nucleotides) under uncultured bacterium. RNAcentral describes it as "partial 16S ribosomal RNA". It matches the Rfam family "Bacterial small subunit ribosomal RNA", at positions 524 to 776 of the family's 1533-position model. The record is from RNAcentral.
UACGUAGGGUGCAAGCGUUGUCCGGAAUUAUUGGGCGUAAAGAGCUCGUAGGCGGUUUGUCGCGUCUGCUGUGAAAACUCGGGGCUUAACCCCGGGCCUGCAGUGGGUACGGGCAGACUAGAGUGCGGUAGGGGAGACUGGAAUUCCUGGUGUAGCGGUGAAAUGCGCAGAUAUCAGGGGGAACACCGGUGGCGAAGGCGGGUCUCUGGGCCGUAACUGACGCUGAGGAGCGAAAGCGUGGGGAGCGAACAGG